Molecule: ribosomal RNA, 466 nt
Filed under: uncultured bacterium
Lineage: Bacteria
Description: bacterial SSU rRNA
Rfam family: Bacterial small subunit ribosomal RNA
Source: RNAcentral
UCCAGACUCCUACGGGAGGCAGCAGUGAGGAAUAUUGGUCAAUGGUCGGGAGACUGAACCAGCCAAGUCGCGUGAGGGAUUAAGGCCCUGCGGGUCGUAAACCUCUUUUGCCGGGGAGCAGUGGUCCGGACGCGUCCGGACCGGGAGAGUACCCGGAGAAAAAGCAUCGGCUAACUCCGUGCCAGCAGCCGCGGUAAUACGGAGGAUGCGAGCGUUAUCCGGAUUUAUUGGGUUUAAAGGGUGCGUAGGCGGGCAUUUAAGCCGGCGGUCAAAUGUCGGGGCUCAACCCCGGCCUGCCGUCGGAACUGGGUGCCUUGAGUGGGCGAGAAGUAUGCGGAAUGCGCAGUGUAGCGGUGAAAUGCUUAGAUAUUGCGCAGAACUCCGAUUGCGAAGGCAGCAUACCGGCGGCGAUCUGACGCUGAGGCACGAAAGCGUGGGUAUCGAACAGGAUUAGAUACCCGGGUAA